GUGGCUGUAGCUCAGUUGGCUAGAGCAUCAGAUUGUGGCUAUGAGGGUCGGGGGUUCAAGUCCCCUCAGCCACCCCU
This 77-nucleotide transfer RNA is filed under the name Planctomycetaceae bacterium. Its description in RNAcentral is "tRNA-His". It matches the Rfam family "tRNA". From Rfam's summary of the family: Transfer RNA (tRNA) molecules are approximately 80 nucleotides in length. The record is from RNAcentral. Lineage: Bacteria; Pseudomonadati; Planctomycetota; Planctomycetia; Planctomycetales; Planctomycetaceae.